GAAGACGUUUGUACCUUUUUCAAUAGCACAGGUAGAUCCAUGAGGAGCGCUGCAGGGAACGCUCCGGAUCAUAGCUUGACAAACAUUCCUUUAGAGACACGAGAAUUACAAUCAACCUCCCGAGGAAAGAAUUCCGUUAGCUGGGUUUCAGACAAGGCUGCCAGUUACACAGCUGCCUGCCAUCACACUUAAAUCCAUUCUUCUUCAUAAACCCUUUGGCUCUGGGGUACGGGAUGUUGCCAAGAGCUGGGAAUGGGGAAGAAAGCACAUUCUGCUCCUCAUCACCUGCCUGCCCCCCAUCCAACUGUUCAAUGCAUUUGCUGGUAGGAUGUCCAUGUAACACGUGCACAAGUGCUGCUUCUCUGACCUCUGACAUGGGGCUUACAGCCGACACUGACGAGUCAGUUGUCCGGGGUUUGCUCCUAUAAUCCUCACCCAGGCAAGACCCUGGGCUAAGGACAACCCUGCCAGAGCAAGGAAUACCCAUAAUACAGGCUCAGCAAGGAGACCUGCAGAACAUGCAACUGCACUUGUCCCCUGACUGAUAAAAGCUGUUCCCCUUCUACAGACUGAGAACCCUUCAGGUUUUUAUCAGCCAGCCGAUUGAACAGACAAAACAACUUUGCCACUUCCCGAGAUGAAUCCCAUCAACAGCGGCCCAAGAUCCUGACUCGAGGUUCCCUGCUGAGGUCUGAAAACUGACUGUAUUUUGCUAUAUUUGGACAAUAAAUUAUACCGUUUUUUAAACAGUA
Molecule: long non-coding RNA, 752 nt
Organism: Pezoporus flaviventris
Lineage: Eukaryota; Metazoa; Chordata; Aves; Psittaciformes; Psittacidae
Exons: 2
Source: RefSeq, a predicted model, not a curated record